Molecule: ribosomal RNA, 256 nt
Filed under: uncultured archaeon
Lineage: Archaea
Description: partial 16S ribosomal RNA
Rfam family: Bacterial small subunit ribosomal RNA
Source: RNAcentral
UAAUACAGAGGGUGCGAGCGUUAAUCGGAAUUACUGGGCGUAAAGCGUGCGUAGACGGUUUCGUAAGUCGGAUGUGAAAUCCCCGGGCUCAACCUGGGAAUUGCAUUCGAGACUGCGAGGCUAGGGUGCGGAAGAGGGAAGCGGAAUUUCCGGUGUAGCGGUGAAAUGCGUAGAUAUCGGAAGGAACAUCAGUGGCGAAAGCGGCUUCCUGGUCCAGCACCGACGUUCAGGCACGAAAGCGUGGGGAGCAAACAGG